GUCCGCAACGAGCACAACCCUUAUCCCCAGUUGCCAUCAGGUAAAGACUGGGAACUCUGGGGAGACUGCCGGUGAUAAACCGGAGGAAGGCGGGGAUGACGUCAAGUCCUCAUGGCCCUUACCAUCCCGGGCUACACACGUGCUACAAUGGCAGGUACAGAGGGCUGCGAAGCCGCGAGGUGGAGCGAAUCCCAGAAAACCUGUCUCAGUCCGGAUUGAAGUCUGCAACUCGACUUCAUGAAGGCGGAAUCGCUAGUAACCGCGAAUCACCAGGUCGCGGUGAAUACGUUCCCGGGCCUU
Molecule: ribosomal RNA, 300 nt
Filed under: uncultured Latescibacterota bacterium
Lineage: Bacteria; Pseudomonadati; Candidatus Latescibacterota
Description: bacterial SSU rRNA
Rfam family: Bacterial small subunit ribosomal RNA
Source: RNAcentral